RNAcentral lists this unclassified non-coding RNA (2408 nucleotides) under Hermetia illucens (black soldier fly). Its description in RNAcentral is "protein tyrosine phosphatase type IVA 1, transcript variant X1". Lineage: Eukaryota; Metazoa; Arthropoda; Insecta; Diptera; Stratiomyidae. The record is from RNAcentral.
GUCAACGACUCGUGCGGGGAGCGGAGUCUUCGUCGUCGCCUCGUCAGCCUUCAAAGGAGGAAAAUCGAAUUUCAGAAGUUGGAAAAGUCAUUUCUCGUUGCGAAGUGUCCGCAAGCUGUAAGGAGUCCGUUCGCGGUGUGAAUUUUGCGUCCCAGCCAGUUCCGUGUGGUUUCCUUUGAUUCUCGCCCUAAGUGCGAAGCGAGCGCGUCGAAAACCGUGAAAAGUCCCAGCGCAGGGAAAAUCCCAGUCCGUGAAAAUUGCAAGUGAUCCUCAGUGGCUCGAAUUUGGCUCGGCUCGUGGCAGUGCAGUGAUUCCGUGCGAGGAGUCAGCCGUUUCUCCAGCGAACUUGUGUGUUGUGAGGGUCCGUGGGUGCAUUUCGCGGCGGUAAAGCGGCCAAGCUACGCGGGUGAAAGUUGCCUGUCGCGUCGAGGACGGACGGAGAGUUCUGUUCUAGAGUUUUUCGCUGCAACCACGGUGCGAAUCCGUCCGAUAUAGUUUCUACCCAAUUCCGAUGUGUAUGGCUAUUCCGCUGGUUCGACUUGUUCUCACCUCUAUGGAGUUUCACCUAGACAGCGCAGAGUACUGCCAGGCCCAGCACAAAUAAGCACACCGGGAGCUAUUGAAACCGAACAUAUUUUUUUACGUAUUUGUCAUCAAUAUUAUACAAAAAACGAUCGUAGGCAAUCCGAAAUAACUCACUAUUCAAACAAAAAUUAGUUAUUUUCAUUUAUUUUUAAUUUUUAUGUGGUGAAACUUGAUAAUUCUAAUCGUUGACAUCAUCAUCAAUUGAAUAAUUCUCUAAAAAAAGGCGAAAUUAACCAAGAAAAAUUACCAAAGGCCUUCAACUAUACAUUUUUAUUAAACAGACAAAUCUAUUGCAAAGACUCUCUCGUUAAAAAAAAGGUUUAAAUAAACUGGAUGCUUGACUUAUUAGUAAACAAACCAAGAAACUAAAAAAAGAAUCUAUAUUUAAAGAACAACUAUCUUACUCCAAUAAAAAUCAAGGAAUACAUACACGGUAUUGCCAUAAUUUAAAAGAAAACAACUAGAAAAGUAAUAAAAGAUCGGCCACAAAAAGGAUAAGUUUAAAUAAACUCUAACGGAAUAUUCUGUUUGGUUAUUUAGUGAAAAAGAAAAACAACAUCUUGAUAUAUAUAAAAUCAACAAAUAAUAAAAUCCAUAAGUAAAGGCAUACAUAUUUAAUUCUCGUGUAUAAAUAGUUAAUUUAAUGACAAGCAUCAUGCGUCAGAAGGACAUUAGACCCGCACCAGCACGUAUUGAAUUUAAAGGAAUGCAGUUCCUAAUUACUGAUCGGCCUUCAGAUAUUACUAUAAAUCACUAUAUACAGGAACUGAAAAAGCACAAUGUCAGCACGGUGGUACGUGUAUGCGAACCAAGCUAUAAAACUGAUGAGUUGGAAGCGCAAGGAAUCGCCGUGAAAGACUUAGCAUUUGAAGAUGGGACAUUUCCACCACAGAAAAUUGUUGAUGAAUGGUUUGAAACAUUGAAACAAAACUACUCACAGAAUCCUGAAGCUUGUGUGGCGGUACAUUGCGUAGCUGGCUUAGGACGAGCACCUGUUUUAGUUGCAUUGGCUCUAAUUGAACUUGGUCUCAAGUAUGAGGCUGCUGUGGAAAUGAUUAGAGACAAACGCCGAGGAGCUAUCAACGCUAAGCAGCUAUCAUAUCUAGAAAAAUACAAGCCAAAAUCGCGACUAAAGCACAAAAAUGGUCACAAGAAUUCGUGCUGUGUGCAAUAGAUAUCAAAAAUUCCCACCAGAUAAAAAGUGUUCAUUUACCGAUUAUCCAAAAUAUAUUAAAUUAAACUAAAGAAAAUUUAAAUAAUCUAAAUAGAAGAUGGCAAACCAAGCUGAAACCAUACAUAACUGCAACUGAAACAAAUAACUAACGAUGAGAGACCAUAGCAAAUGGAACUAUCGCCGAAUCACAAUAGACAGCAAUCCAACCACACUAGCAACUACCACAAUAUUCACGUAACUCUUCAACGAUAUAUAAAUGAUAAUGGGUAAAAUGGGUAUAAUUAAACAAUAACGUAAUGUCGAUAAUGUAGACCCCAUCCGCUUGGAAUGCACUAAGGAUAUCGACUCCAACCAAGAACACACGAGAAAGACGCAUUGCGACGACGCAAAUUAUCUGAAACUAGCGAGGGAAAAAUUGUGUCCGACAAUUGAGCGACUUAGUGCGACACACUUUGUAACACACGUACUUGAGAAUAUUUUGUCAAUACCAUAAACUAUACUGAAAAGGAGUAACUGAAUAUAUGUACUUUCUGCUUUUUGACACAUAUUAUUCUUUGUAAGAUAAAUUUGAUUGAAAUAUUGUUAUUUUAAAUUUUUUAUGGUAUUUCGAUUAAUAAAAAUAAAAAAGAAAUAGUAACUAGAUUCCAAA